UCCGGUGGCGAUGCGCCUGGGGGAAACACCCGUCCACAUCCCGAACACGAUGGUUAAGACCCAAGCGGCCCAUGGUACUAUGCUGGAGACGGCAUGGGAGAGCAGGUGGCUGCCGGAU
Eubacterium ventriosum ATCC 27560 is the source of this 118-nucleotide non-coding RNA. NCBI's taxonomy places the organism in Bacteria, Bacillati, Bacillota, Clostridia, Eubacteriales, Eubacteriaceae. The record is from Rfam.